Molecule: long non-coding RNA, 697 nt
Organism: Passer domesticus (house sparrow)
Lineage: Eukaryota; Metazoa; Chordata; Aves; Passeriformes; Passeridae
Exons: 3
Source: RefSeq, a predicted model, not a curated record
UUUGUUUGCCCGGGAAAAGGGGCAGCGUUCGUGUCCAGGGCCCAGUGGCCUGGUGCGGUUGUCAGGGGUGAGAAAGCUGUCUCAGGAAUGCCCUGACUUAGAGAAUGCACCAUUCUCUAAGUCAGGGAAAAUUCAUUCCUUUCCCAAGGUUCGAAUGCUGUACCCCCUUUCACAUCCCACUCAUCUUAAACCCUUUGUAUCUUCCAUUAGUUACUGCUGUGAAAACUUUCCCUCUCCACGUAGCUGUGCACAAAAUCUUUACCUUCCCCAAAGACAGGGCACUCCCCCUGGUGUCCUUCUGCUGGUUGUUACCUGUCCCUGCUGUCCCUCCGACUCACCGUCUGUCCCUCAGCCUACCCUCCGUGUUUUCCUACCCCUUUUGGACCCUGCAAUGAAUCAGCUGAGAUGAUCCAGGACUCGAGCGGCCCUCCUUCUGUCUGGUGAAGAGAAACAUCUAGCCAGGGUCCAGCGGGUGAAAAUCCUGACCCCGGCAGAUAACACAGCCAAGCUCUUUGACUGCACAUCCCUGGAGCACCUGAAGACGUUCCGGACGGAGCGGCCAGUGAACUCUGCUGCCCUUUCCCCCAUUUUUGACCACGUGGUGCUGGGAGGAGGGCAGGAGGCCGUGGAUGUGACCACCAGCUCCACCAGGUGGCAAACUCGAGGCCAGGUUGGUCCUUUUCCCUCUGGCAGGGCU